AAAGGAAGAUUAAUACCCCAUAAUAUUUAGAAUGGCAUCAUUUUAAAUUGAAAACUCCGGUGGAUAGAGAUGGGCACGCGCAAGAUUAGAUAGUUGGUGAGGUAACGGCUCACCAAGUCUACGAUCUUUAGGGGGCCUGAGAGGGUGAUCCCCCACACUGGUACUGAGACACGGACCAGACUCCUACGGGAGGCAGCAGUGAGGAAUAUUGGACAAUGGGUGCGAGCCUGAUCCAGCCAUCCCGCGUGAAGGACGACGGCCCUAUGGGUUGUAAACUUCUUUUGUAUAGGGAUAAACCUAGAUACGUGUAUCUAGCUGAAGGUACUAUACGAAUAAGCACCGGCUAACUCCGUGCCAGCAGCCGCGGUAAUACGGAGGGUGCAAGCGUUAUCCGGAUUUAUUGGGUUUAAAGGGUCCGUAGGCGGAUCUGUAAGUCAGUGGUGAAAUCUCACAGCUUAACUGUGAAACUGCCAUUGAUACUGCAGGUCUUGAGUGUUGUUGAAGUAGCUGGAAUAAGUAGUGUAGCGGUGAAAUGCAUAGAUAUUACUUAGAACACCAAUUGCGAAGGCAGGUUACUAAGCAACAACUGACGCUGAUGGACGAAAGCGUGGGGAGCGAACAGGAUUAGAUACCCUGGUAGUCCACGCCGUAAACGAUGCUAACUCGUUUUUGGUAUUUCGGUAUCAGAGACUAAGCGAAAGUGAUAAGUUAGCCACCUGGGGAGUACGAACGCAAGUUUGAAACUCAAAGGAAUUGACGGGGGCCCGCACAAGCGGUGGAUUAUGUGGUUUAAUUCGAUGAUACGCGAGGAACCUUACCAAGGCUUAAAUGGGAAAUGACAGGUUUAGAAAUAGACUUUUCUUCGGACAUUUUUCAAGGUGCUGCAUGGUUGUCGUCAGCUCGUGCCGUGAGGUGUUAGGUUAAGUCCUGCAACGAGCGCAACCCCUGUCACUAGUUGCCAUCAUUAAGUUGGGGACUCUAGUGAGACUGCCUACGCAAGUAGAGAGGAAGGUGGGGAUGACGUCAAAUCAUCACGGCCCUUACGCCUUGGGCCACACACGUAAUACAAUGGCCGGUACAGAGGGCAGCUACACUGCGAAGUGAUGCAAAUCUCGAAAGCCGGUCUCAGUUCGGAUUGGAGUCUGCAACUCGACUCUAUGAAGCUGGAAUCGCUAGUAAUCGCGCAUCAGCACGA
This 1195-nucleotide ribosomal RNA is filed under the name Chryseobacterium sp. 90B. Its description in RNAcentral is "bacterial SSU rRNA". It matches the Rfam family "Bacterial small subunit ribosomal RNA", at positions 154 to 1357 of the family's 1533-position model. Lineage: Bacteria; Pseudomonadati; Bacteroidota; Flavobacteriia; Flavobacteriales; Weeksellaceae. The record is from RNAcentral.